UUUUUUUUUUUUUUUUGAGUAAACUUUAAAUGUCAUCUCAGUAUUUUUGCAUUUUUUUACUUUAGUAUUUUAUUAUUUAAAAUAUAUAAAUUUAGUACACUGUAAUUUUAUUUUUUUCUUUUUAUUAGUUCCGUAGGUAAAUUUUCAUUAAAUUAUAUACAAAAAAUUUCAUAUGCUCAAUCUAUAGUUUAUCAAAUAUUUACUUUAAUACCCUUUAAUUUUAACUUUAUCACUGAUUUAAUAAAAAAAUUAGUGGAGGAGAUAACAAAAAGAGAAAAAUAAAAUCACAGGAUAGGUAGUCAAUAAUUAUAUUAUUUCAACAAUUUUAUUUAAAAAUGAAUCAAAUUUAAUAGUUUUAAAAAUUGUUCUAUAAAUAACUUUUUUAGCUAAAAAAUUAAAAAUAUAAAUGCAUCACUUAGCUCUACAGAUUUAAUUAGUAUAUUUUAUACGAUCUCAAAAUUAAAUUUCAUAAAAUAUAAAAUUAACUUAAACUCCAUCAAUAUUUCUUUUUCUUUUUAAUCUAUAAUCUAUAUCUAAAUGCCAAAUAUUAUAAAAUAAACAUUUAUAUUUAAUACAAAUAGUUUAAACUAUUAAAAAAUUAUUUAUAUAUUUUAAAUUUUUAUAAUAAUAAAUAAAAAAUAAAAUUGGACUUAAAAAAGAUUUUAAAUUUUUUCUCC
RNAcentral lists this long non-coding RNA (677 nucleotides) under Ananas comosus (pineapple). RNAcentral describes it as "long non-coding RNA (ACOM_LNC017075)". Lineage: Eukaryota; Viridiplantae; Streptophyta; Magnoliopsida; Poales; Bromeliaceae. The record is from RNAcentral.